This is a non-coding RNA of Microcebus murinus (gray mouse lemur), 403 nucleotides long. Lineage: Eukaryota; Metazoa; Chordata; Mammalia; Primates; Cheirogaleidae. The record is from RefSeq and is a predicted model, not a curated record.
UAUUGCAGGGCCUGCUUAACUGCUAACUUCUGAGCAAGGAGGGACCAAGAUAACUUUUUAAGGUACCAUCUGGCUCUCUGACUCUGCGGUGUGAGGAGGGUUGGCACUUGGUGCCGGCAGACAGUACCGUGUCCAGAGGAGGUGGGUGAAGGAGGAAGGGAGAAACAUGCCCUGACCUCUCAGCUACGGAAAGGCCUGGCCUUUCAGGAAUGGCUCCAUGUUCCAAGGAUGAGUCUUUGCAAAGAAGUCUUAAAUACUCACUUGUUCUGAGACAUGCUGGACUACUUACCCAGGGCCUCCAUGUGAUCUCAGAACCUUCCUGGAGAUUAAAAGCACAGAGAGACAUGACUACUCUAGAUUUGUGUAAAAUAAUUAAUUCAAUAAAUAUGUAUCGAAAGCUGUA